GAUGAACGCUGGCGGCGUGCCUAACACAUGCAAGUCGAGCGAACACUUGCGGAGCUCGCUCCCCUGCCGUUGACGGCGGCCGGGUGAGUAACACGUUGAUUCGCUACCACUAAGACUGGGUUAACCUCGGGACGCCGGAGCCAAUACCGGAUAAUACAUUCUACCGCAUGGUUCGAUAGUGUAUGACGGUUUUGUUGUUACUUUUAGGUGGCUCCGCGCCGCAUUAGCUAGUUGGUAAGGGAACGGCUUACCAAGGCAACGAUGCGUAGCCGACCUGAGAGGGUGAUCGGCCACACGGGAACUGAGACACGGUCCAGACUCCUACGGGAGGCAGCAGUAGGGAAUCUUCCGCAAUGGGCGAAAGCCUGACAGAGCAACACCGCGUGAGGGAUGAAGGUCUUCUGAUCGUAAAGCUCUGUUAGUAGGAAAGAACAAAAGUGUAAGUAACUAUGAACGUCUUGACGGUACCUAAUCAAAAAGCCACGGCUAACUUCGUG
Molecule: ribosomal RNA, 497 nt
Filed under: uncultured bacterium
Lineage: Bacteria
Description: partial 16S ribosomal RNA
Rfam family: Bacterial small subunit ribosomal RNA
Source: RNAcentral